GUCUAUGGCCAUGCCACCCUGAACAAGCCCAAUGCUUGAUCUUGGAAGCUAAGCAGGGUUGGUCCUGGUUAGUAUUUGGAUGGGAGACCACCCAGGAAGACCAGAUGCUGUAGGCA
This 116-nucleotide ribosomal RNA is filed under the name Pteropus alecto (black flying fox). Lineage: Eukaryota; Metazoa; Chordata; Mammalia; Chiroptera; Pteropodidae. The record is from RNAcentral.